Molecule: ribosomal RNA, 424 nt
Filed under: uncultured bacterium
Lineage: Bacteria
Description: partial 16S ribosomal RNA
Rfam family: Bacterial small subunit ribosomal RNA
Source: RNAcentral
GAAUAUUGGCCAUUGGGGGGAACCCUGAUCCAGCCCUGCCGCGUGUGUGAAGAAGGCCUUUUGUUUGUAAAGCCUUUUAAGCGAGGGGGAGGCUACUCUAUUUAAUACCUAGGGAUAGUGGCGGUUACUAGCAGAAUAAGCACCGACCAACCCGGUGCCAGCGGCCGAGGUAAUACAGAGGGUGCAAGCGUUAAUCGGAUUUACUGGGCGUAAAGCGCGCGUAGGUGGCCAAUUAAGUCAAAUGUGAAAUCCCCGAGCUUAACUUGGGAAUUGCAUUAGAUACUGGUUGGCUAGAGUAUGGGAGAGGAUGGUAGAAUUCCAGGUGUAGCGGUGAAAUGCGUAGAGAUCUGGAGGAAUACCGAUGGCGAAGGCAGCCAUCUGGCCUAAUACUGACACUGAGGUGCGAAAGCAUGGGGAGCAAACA